Long non-coding RNA from Dreissena polymorpha, 534 nucleotides. RefSeq lists it as uncharacterized. Lineage: Eukaryota; Metazoa; Mollusca; Bivalvia; Myida; Dreissenidae. The transcript has 4 exons. The record is from RefSeq and is a predicted model, not a curated record.
AUUACACCGGAUUUAAUGUGUUUUCUCCUAACUCAUUAAGCGCUAAACGAUCGAAUGAUAAACAAAUCCUGUUAGGAAACCUAUAUAUUUGCACGUAUUCAUAACAAGAAAUCAAGUUGAUACCUGUGCCGUUAAAGUACUUACUAGAAUUCGGGAUUUGUUAUCAUCAUAACCGGAACAAUGUCGUCUGUCAGGAUAUUGGUUGUCCUCAUGGUUGUGUGCGUCCUCGCAGGGAGUUUAGUGCAGCAGGCAGAAGCGACCGACGGGUGCGCCUGUGCGUUGAACUGUAAGUGGAACGAAUGCCUGGUCGAACGUUGUGGCAGGUGGGGUUUGCGUAGAUUGUGUUGUCCUAAUAACAGCCCGGAAUGCCACAAAUGAAUCUUUGAUUCCGAGGCGGAUACAACAUACGAACACAAUCGCUGACUAUAUUUAUCUACAAAAAAGUAACAUUAUACAUGCAUGAGUUGUGAAAUGUUUUAUACGUAUGCUGUUCGUAUUAAGAAAUAAAUGAAUAAUGUAAUUUUAUUCAAUAUA